CGGACGCAGUGGGCUGGGCUGGGGGGGCGUCUUUCUUCUUUGUCAGCGGAGCGAGCUAGGGGAGAGCGGGAGCGAGAGCGUGCGGCGUGCCUUUCCGAUCCCAAGGAGCGGCGGCGGCGGCGGCCAGGGACCGAGGAGCAGUGCCGAUCGAGGCCGGUGUACCUGCCGCCCAUCCUCGGGUAGAAAGCGGCGAAGAGGUAGGAGACUGCGCUGAGGAUCCCGCUCCGAAGAGGGAGCGUCGUCGAGGACCAGCCAGGCCGGACCCGUGGUGAGGCCGCUUGCCGCGGGGUGAGGCCGGCUGCUGGGUUAGUCGUGUUUAUCGUCACCCCGUAAAGUGAUUUCCUUCCGGUACUAAAGGGUGUUCCUAUCCCGAGUUUUCCGCAUACUCCGGUACCCCGCAGAGCCGAAGGGGUUCUUCGUCCAAAGCGGUCAGGACUUCGUGGAGAUGUUCGAGAAACUUUCGACCCUCGGGUAGCUCCUGCUCUCGAUGGCGUAGGAACGACUGUGGUAGGACCUAUCGGUUUUCUUAGUUGGUUACGGACCGUGAUCGGCAGUACACUGCCUGGUUCUCAGGCUCGGAGUGUUGAGUUGCAGCCAGUGUGGUCUAGGUCUACUGGUUGUGGGAAGACGACGAGCCAUACCGUACCUACAGUCACUAUUACUUUGGAGGGAGUAGUUGUCUAGGUACCUACAGUCACUUUUAGGGGUUCUACGAGAGAAGAAUGUUCUCGGGUUUGGACUUGGACUUUAACUACAAGGUCGACGAGGACAACGGUUGCUGGAGUUAUGACCCAGAAGUCUCAGUGCACGACACGUAAGACUUCGAGUUUUGUUACCACCGUCGAACGUUCUUGUCCGAAACCUCUGCGUACGAGGGAAACACUUCGGUUAACGAACAUUCGUACGACAACCACCCUUACCAUUACGACGGCAUCCUAGUAGGAGCCUUGGAUCGAAAGUUUUAACCCAUCAACGAAUAGUGGGAGUCCUUCGUGAAAAAUUCGUUUCCGGUGACGUACUACAACGACUGUAUUGCUUCCCUGUUCUUUCUCAAUCUUAUGGAUAACAUUUGCUUAAACCAUCACUAUCAACAGGCGGUAACAAGAUAAUGUAUUCUUUCUUAGAGUAAAAGGUUUCACGAAUACAGUUGUGGAGUGAACGCGCCUAACCACUACUCCUAACGACGCGUCUAACAAGUCCGUUGACGAAUAAUCUUGGUGUAGGUACAGGUACACGUUCUAGUUGACCUCCACUCUAACGUAUGUGUGGCCUCCCGGACCAGUCCCGUCUUAAUUAACUACUCACGUAACGACAAUUAGUGAAGGGUCUUUUCCUAUUAUUCAAGAUGACAUUUCGAACAGGAGAAGUUUAUAUAUUCUGCUUCGGGAGUGGUCUAGGUACAUUUCCAGUAGAACGAUCUUUUAAGUAAUUCCUCACAACCUCAUUUACACCGACACCGUUCGUCACACCUUUAGCACACUAAGUCGCACCCUAUUGUACGUUAGAGGUCCACAAAAAGUGCUUACUUCCCUUCCCGACCCCCGAUGCCUGCGACCUACCCGACGGUUUUCCACGAAAGUAGACACUUAAUCAACCCCUCCAUGAUUGUUCAAGACUUGAUAUGCUCUCUUUUCGGUUUUUAAGAUUCGUACACCUAGUUCACGAGGAUCUACGAUCAACCCCAAGACUUCCCCACGAUUCUCUGCUCCUUCGAGAGACGGAACUAGACUGUAAAAUACCCUUACAGCCCGCUAAACAGUUGGUAUCUACGAUACUACGUUUAAACCAUUAGUAUGGACAACUUCAGCUCUGAGGACUAGCGGUAAUAAUGGUAGAACGUAAUAAGUGACGGUUCUUUUAUCUCCGAAAACUCCUCAAUUGCGCCCUAAUACCGUAACUAAAACUACCAUGACUACUGGAGUUAUUUCGUAAACUGACGUACACACCUUCGUUCAUGACAGCGCCGCCAGGCUUCUUAAGUUCCUUCUCCUGAUCCCGUUCACGUUCAGCCUUGAUCUCCCUAAACGUAAGCCAGUUCUCGCCACCUUCUUCUCACAACCGUCCUUGUCCCGUGUCUCAAACAACGGAAUACUACUAACAUCUAUCAACGUUCCCCGCCACAGCCGGUCAGUAUAAAACCCCAAACCUACAUCAUUUUGGUUGAUUUUUACGGACUACGUCUCGUUCACCUUGAAUUAAUCAUACACAGCAGUCACACAGUGACACAACACGCAGGCCUCAAAUGGAUCGUUAACGUCAAUUGAACGAAGUGACGGGCUCGAAUAAGACGUAGAAAAAAAGAAGG
This 2305-nucleotide ribosomal RNA is filed under the name Triticum aestivum (bread wheat). Its description in RNAcentral is "partial small subunit ribosomal RNA". The record is from RNAcentral. Lineage: Eukaryota; Viridiplantae; Streptophyta; Magnoliopsida; Poales; Poaceae.